GAGCAUGUGAAGAGGCAGAAUUACCAUCUUCCCGCUCAAAAAGCUUCUGACAUGGGUGUGAUCUGAUUUGAAGGGUUUAUUUCUGGUAAAUCAGCAUUCUGUCAGAUGCACUCCUAUCCUCAGAAACCUUCACCCUUGCACAGUCCUCUAAGUCCUGAGGUGGCGGCGAGGCCAGGAAGUGCUUACCAGUUCAAAAAGUCAAGCCCGGCUUCACUUGUGCCUGUCAGCUCCCAUGAAAGUUAUACGUCUGCAAACUCACUGGAGUCACCUUAUGAAUCACUGCCCUCAUUUGUGCCCUGCUGGCUCAGGGGAGCACAGUCCUGCCUCUGUCCCCAAGGGAAAGGGCUGCUAGGAUUGACCGUGGCAAUAGUUUCAACAGUGGUGUUUCUCAGCAUGAACCUUGGGUUUUAUACACUGCUCUAAAAAACAAACGGAAUAAUAGGUCACAGAAACACUGUGCAACACACUACCUUUAAAAAAAAAA
This 484-nucleotide long non-coding RNA is filed under the name Rattus norvegicus (Norway rat). RNAcentral describes it as "long non-coding RNA NONRATT001646". Lineage: Eukaryota; Metazoa; Chordata; Mammalia; Rodentia; Muridae. The record is from RNAcentral.